UGAAAAAUAAAAAAUUAAUAUUACUUUAAAAUUUUUAAAAUAAAUUUAUCUAAAUCGAUAAUUCUUAUAAAAUGAAAAAAGUAUUAAUUAUGAGUAAAAAUGGUUCUCUCUACGUAAGAUGAUGUCGUCACAGUACAGCGGUAGAUAAGGCUGUCUCAACUCCCAAGUCAAGCAUCGAUCAACCGUUAAACAAAUCUAAUCAAGUUCCUUGCUCUCUACUUUUUCUUUUUUAAAGUGGACAGGAAAUCCAAGAAAAUAAACUAAAAAGUUGGGGGAAAAAAGAGUGCGAAACAUUAAUUAAUGAAAAAGCCAAGAAGUGCUUGCCCCCUUGACGGUUGGCCUUCAGGCAUUACCAAAUCAGGGAAUGUGCCCGCCUACCCUGUCAAUUCUCUUUCCUCUUCUUCUCCUCAAGGGACAUGCACGAAUUGCUCAUCCAUUGACUAACUGCGAAUAACUAGAAUGCCGCUUUAAUGACAUGCCACUACUAUGAUUAAUUAGUGCUACAGCUACGUAUUUGUAUUGCUUCCGAGACAUAACAGUAUCUCUACGUAUAUUCCUUUUGUCACGUAGCUACUUCAUAAUGUUGGAAAUUAUACCUUGCUCCAGUUAAUGCCAACCGGUUGAAAAUGGCUCGUUAUGCAUCUUUUCUUUUAAAGCUGUGAGUAAGCCAAAAAGCUUUGGAAUUGAUCAUGUCAGAGCCAUCUCAUGCAUGCUGAAAAAGUAGGUAAGAUUUUAUUUUAUUUUUCUUAUUUUUUAAUAAAUAUAUAGCACCAAAGCAGAACUCUUGUUUUUGCUGGGAAAUGGCCAAAUGGGUACCCUUUUGUCUAUUUUUCGGAUGCAAAUCAUCUGCCGAUUUCGGCUUGCUGUCACUUUAAUGGUGCCAUAUGCAUAUGACAAAUAAAAUAGUUGAAUUGAUUAAAUUUCCGUGGGGAUCUGGGAGGCUAAGGAAGCAUAGUAAUAAUAGUGCCUCACAUGGGGGUUGUUUGCGUCACAUGGUCAAUGAUGUUAUCUUACUUAAUAUGCAAACAACGUUUUUAAAUGUAAACCCUAAUUAUUCACUCACAUUGACGUUCAUAGAAUCAAUGCGCAUGACAUGCUUAUUUUGGGCUAGUAGGGAAGGUGCGUGCUUAACUGAGCUUCUUCUUUCUUCUGAAUUGAAACAAGACACAAUGAAAGGGAAAUUCUCGGUUAAUGUCUUUUUAUCACAAGAAAUGCAUGGAUGAAUAUUGAAAUCCUUGCAUAUAUAAAACCCUAACACGAAAGGACAAAUCCUGCAUGUGAAACUUGGUCAGCAAGAGCACUCACUUUAUGGCCUGGUUUCUCUAUUUAUCCCUCUUCCUCUGUUUGUGAUAAUGGUGAGUCCAUGAGAGCACGCUUACUCAUUAUGUCGCUUGGAAAAAUUUCCAUUGCUUUAAAGGGAUUUUAAUGCUUGACUUCAACCCAAGUAAGAGUUUGUGUCCAGGUCAAUAACACCAAAACCAACAUGCUUUUCUUACUAGUCAGUCUUGUUAUCCAUUAUGAGUCUCCUAUACUUUUAAUUGCUUCCUGCAGCCCAUCGACUAUUUAAAUCCCCAGGUAAAUUUUCAAAUUCUACCUUCUUCCUCUUCUUCAAUAAUCAUCUAAAUCACAGGCUGGUUCUCGCAGCUAGAGAAUUAAGCUGAGCUUUGGUUAUUAUCGUUAUGGCCAGCUAAAUUUCAAGAAAAGAAAAUAGCCAUUCGAAGGGUUAAUACAUACUUCUGGAGGAGUCCAUUUUAGUCCUUUUUUCUUUUUGCAGAGAUCAAUUUGGCAACUAGAUGUUGACGUUGAGGCAUAUUCCUGAACAUUUUCUGGCCUUUUUGAUUCACUGGCAAGCACGUUCACCUGUUCAGCAACAUGAAAGGCUGCCGCAUUGGAGUAGCUGACUUCCUUGGAAGAAUCCUCGUGGCUAAGCUGAUACGCAACAAAUUUGUCAAGGACUCGCCAAUCGGUUACUUGAUCCACAGCUUGCUCACCAUUGUUAUGGUAAAGUGAGCUCAAAUUUUGGUGAUGUUGUUCAUCCUGUGUAAGAGUUGAGGACUGCAGGGUACUUCCAUUGUUGGUAUCAUAACCACCAUAUGGGAGUCUGGAGUUGCAGUUGGCACUUGCAGCUGACUGUGGAACUUUGGGGCUUUCCAGCUGGGGAAGCUGGAGGAGUAAAGGGUCAUGAGGCAUAUUAUAUUGCAAUGUCUCAAACUCUUGCUUGCAAGGAUAGUGGUGGAGGUAUGAUGCGUAAGGUUGAGUAAUUCGCCUUGGAGAAUCCAUUUCUGGCAUGAAGCAGACCUGCUCAUCGUACCAACAUGGCGACUCAUAUUCUCCAACUUUCCUGAUUGUUGGCAUUUUCUUCUUGAACACCCUGCAUACUACCCACCCUUCUUCCUGGUGCAAUCACAACAUAUAAUUUCAUAUUAGCCUCACUAAAUUUGAACUUCAUCGAAUAAAUGUUUACUCACAUGUGGAAUUCAAUAAUGUGCAUUUCUUAUUGUCUUUAUGAAC
Molecule: long non-coding RNA, 2511 nt
Organism: Manihot esculenta (cassava)
Lineage: Eukaryota; Viridiplantae; Streptophyta; Magnoliopsida; Malpighiales; Euphorbiaceae
Exons: 3
Source: RefSeq, a predicted model, not a curated record